AGACUUGGGCAUGGCCUUCCCACAGCAUCCGAGCAGCAUGGCGAAGCAGGUCUUCUAUGUUCAAAGAGCUACCCGCACAAAAAGGAGACAGUAUACUCUGCAGAAGAGAAUCCCCACGUAGCAGGACUUACCGAUGGCCAGAGGUACUUGUGGAAAACAUGGUUUCUUUGGCGAACUUCCUGAAGAAGCCUCAGACCGACGUGCUCAGAGAGUGGAAGUACAUGAUGCAUGCUGUAGAAGCUUUGCUAUUCUGCUUCCACUAAGGUGCUGAAAUAGGCGUGCAGCUCUUGAAAGUUGAGAUAGGGAUGGAAACCGAGGCAUCAUAUUCACAAUGUUGUCAGCCUUCCAGAAUGUUCCCAGUGAUCUCCACUUCCUGGUGGUCAUUCAUUCCUUUAGGCAAUCUCCCCAAGUACACACUGGCCCUGCUGACUUGAGUAUAACCUGGAACAUGGCGAGGGAUGGGAUGUCAUUGCUGAGAUUGGAUUACCAAGGGCUGUGACCUCUGUCUUGUUGGCAAACUCUUUGGGCUCCCUGGUUUUUCACAUAUGAAUGAUUAAUGAAGUACGUGGUUAUAUUGUGAGCUGCCAUUUUGGAAAUGCCUAUGUGUCAAGACACUGAGGGAAGCCCUUGGCCAACAGCCAGAAAGGAGCCGAGGUUCUCAUUCCAAUACCUCAUGAGGAAACAAAUGGUGCCACAGACCAGUGUGUGAGCUUGGAAAUGGGUCAUUCCCCAGUAGCAUCUUCAGGGGAGAUGGGGACCCCAAGUUAGCAUGCCUGCCUGGUGAGGAACUGUGAGCAGAGGAUCAAACUAAGCUAUGCCCAGAUUCCCGACCCACAGAAACUAUAGGAUGAUGAAUGUGUGCCGUUGUAAGCUGCUUAAUUCUGGGGUGAUUUGUUACGUAACAGUGGAUAGCUUGUAUGAUUUUGAGAUCUUGAAGGUCAGUUGGAUUGUUCUAUUGUCCUAUUUCUCAUCCAAGAUUUAAGGACAGAUUCUACCCAAGUGAUUAUGUGAUGUGUCAAGUGUGUGCAAAAAUCUUAGGGAAAAAAACGAGAGGGCAGGACUUUCUCAUUUUUGACAGUGUUGCACCAGGUGAAUCAACCCUUCUGCGAAGACAGUUACGAGUGUUGGUUAGAGGACUAAAAGGGUCUUCACAAAAACCCAAAGAACGUUUACACGUUAAGGGAGCCUUUAAGAUCACGACAGAGACACUCCUCUGGGGAGGAAUUUCCCAGCUGAGAUUUAGAAAGUGAGAACUUGGAGAAGCACACAGGGCACUGGAAGCUGCUCAGACCCGGGAGCAUUUGCUUAUUCUGACGACAGAAAACAAACUGCAGAGUCUUCAGCAGUCUCCUGGAAGGUACCAAGCUGGCAACAUGGCAGCAACAUGGAGCCUCCUGAAGAAGGUUCUUCAGUGGCAGAAGGAAAAGGAUCCCAGACAGAUGGGCUCAGGCACAAGCACCAAGGAAGUGCUAGCACAGGAGUCUGGACCUCUGCAGAAAUCAAGGGCACUCCAAGGACUUAAGGGAACAUAGAUCAAAGAAGGGACUAGAAACCACGUGCAGGUGGCAUGAAGGGGCUCGACGGGACAGGCAGUGGUG
Molecule: long non-coding RNA, 1598 nt
Filed under: Marmota monax (woodchuck)
Lineage: Eukaryota; Metazoa; Chordata; Mammalia; Rodentia; Sciuridae
Source: RNAcentral